AUACGGAGGGUGCAAGCGUUGUUCGGAAUUACUGGGCGUAAAGCGCGCGUAGGCGGUCUGUUAUGUCAGAUGUGAAAGUCCUCGGCUCAACCGGGGAAGUGCAUUUGAAACUGGCAGACUUGAGUACUGGAGGGGGUGGUGGAAUUCCCGGUGUAGAGGUGAAAUUCGUAGAUAUCGGGAUGAAUACCGGUGGCGAAGGCGACCACCUGGCCAGAUACUGACGCUGAGGUGCGAAAGCGUGGGGAGCAAACAGGAUUAGAAACCCCAGUAGUCC
RNAcentral lists this ribosomal RNA (274 nucleotides) under uncultured bacterium. Its description in RNAcentral is "partial 16S ribosomal RNA". It matches the Rfam family "Bacterial small subunit ribosomal RNA", at positions 523 to 796 of the family's 1533-position model. The record is from RNAcentral.